UAAUACGAAGGGUGCAAGCGUUACUCGGAAUCACUGGGCGUAAAGCGUGCGUAGGCGGUUGGUUAAGUCUGCUGUGAAAGCCCUGGGCUCAACCUGGGAACUGCAGUGGAUACUGGCUAGCUAGAGUGUGAUAGAGGAUGGUGGAAUUCCCGGUGUAGCGGUGAAAUGCGUAGAGAUCGGGAGGAACACCAGUGGCGAAGGCGGCCAUCUGGAUCAACACUGACGCUGAGGCACGAAAGCGUGGGGAGCAAACAGGAUUAGAUACCCUGGUAGUCCACGCCCUAAACGAUGCGAACUGGACGUUGGUUGCAACUUGGCAAUCAGUGUCGAAGCUAACGCGUUAAGUUCGCCGCCUGGGGAGUACGGUCGCAAGACUGAAACUCAAAUGAAUUGACGG
This 397-nucleotide ribosomal RNA is filed under the name bacterium enrichment culture. RNAcentral describes it as "bacterial SSU rRNA". It matches the Rfam family "Bacterial small subunit ribosomal RNA", at positions 521 to 916 of the family's 1533-position model. The record is from RNAcentral.